RNAcentral lists this ribosomal RNA (428 nucleotides) under uncultured bacterium. Its description in RNAcentral is "partial 16S ribosomal RNA". It matches the Rfam family "Bacterial small subunit ribosomal RNA", at positions 354 to 796 of the family's 1533-position model. The record is from RNAcentral.
GUGGGGAAUAUUGGGCAAUGGGGGAAACCCUGACCCAGCAACGCCGCGUGAGGGAAGAAGGUUUUCGGAUUGUAAACCUCUGUCCUUGGUGACGAAGGAAGUGACGGUAGCCAAGGAGGAAGCCCCGGCUAACUACGUGCCAGCAGCCGCGGUAAUACGUAGGGGGCAAGCGUUGUCCGGAAUGACUGGGCGUAAAGGGCGUGUAGGCGGCCGAUUAAGUCUGGAGUGAAAGUCCUGCUUUCAAGGUGGGAAUUGCUUUGGAGACUGGUUGGCUUGAGUGCGGAAGAGGUAAGUGGAAUUCCCAGUGUAGCGGUGAAAUGCGUAGAGAUUGGGAGGAACACCAGUGGCGAAGGCGACUUACUGGGCCGUAACUGACGCUGAGGCACGAAAGCGUGGGGAGCGAACAGGAUUAGAUACCCCAGUAGUCC